CAGAGGUGUGACUUUGAAACCCGAGUUCAGGACUACAGGCCAGGAAACUCUGAGCUUAAAUUCAGUCCUGGCGACAGCUGCAAAAUCUAGGACCCAGGAGGGUACCACUCAUACUCAAGGUGGAUCUUCCCCCUCAGUUGAACCUCUCCAGAAACACAUUCACAGAUUUCCAUCUAUGGCUGUUCCUGAGCCUCACAUGGUCUCUCUAAGCAGACAGAGAAAGUACGACGCCAUGGCCCCACAACCCUCGUGCCUUCAUGGUGGCUCCAAACGAGAAAGCUGCCUGCAAGGCAACCGCCAGGAUGCUCUGUUGUCUGCAUUUCGCUGCGUUAGCGACAAGGCUGCAGAAGCAGUCUGCCAGCUCUUCCACCUCCUCUUCCUCUUCUUCCUCCUCCUCUACUUCAUCCUUUGCCCCCUCCCCCUCCCCCUCUCCCUCCUCCUACUUUGAGACAGGAGCUUGUUUUGUAGCCCAGGCUUGACUGGGACUAUGGCUCCUCCUGCCUCAGACUCCCCAAGUAUUACAUUUGCAGCCACAGGCCCUACAAAACCACUUUCCUGACAUACAGAGUUGCUAUCCAAAAGCACGUAAACAGCGGACGCUUUCCAACUUAAUUGUGUAGUAAUUCAACUCAGUUUUUCUUUUUUAACAUUUCAAUUCAAUACAGAUGCUUCUCAGAACUGACUUACAAAGUUAGGCUUUGUGAUUCUGACCAAGGUGGUGUCAAACAGAAAGAAUAUAUUUCAUUUAUUCAUUCAAGUAUCAAGCUUUUUACUGAGUAUGGUUGAUCUUACCUGUAAUUCCAGCACAUACUUGGGAGGCAGAGGCAGGAGGAUUGCUGGGAAUCUGAGGCCACUCUGGGUUACAGAGUUAAGUUGUAGACCCACCGGCCUUGGCUAGAGAGUAAGACUGUCACAAAUAAAUAGCUUGUGCUCUGUGCCAGGCACUGCUCUAAAUAUUAAGGAAUUAGCGAUGGACAAGAGAAAGUCCCUGUUGUCAUUGAGUUUACUUUCUCAUGCAGAACGAGAAACAACUACAAUUUGAAAACUGGAAGGAAAUAGUUCUUCCCAGAGCGUUGAAGGCGUGUUGCACAGAUAGGUCUUCCAUGGCUAUUUGAGACAGAGUGGUCAGGUGAGUUCUCAGGAAGGAGCAUUUAGGAGAGAUGUGAAGGAUAAAGACAGAGCCAGCCAAGCUCAAGGGAACAGCAUUCCUGGCAAGGGAAUAACUAAUACCAAACCAUCAUAGCAGGAAUGGGAAGGAGGCUACUCUGGCUGGGACACACUGUGGUCAGAGGUAAACCAGCUCUGUUUGCAAAAGGCUUUGGGAGCAAAAGGGAGGGCUACUGUAGGUGGGAUGGGAAGGUUCUGGAGAGUUUAUCUUAUUUCUGCUUUUGUUUGAGAUUGUGUCUUGCUAUGUAGCCCAGGCUGACCUCGAUUUCACAGCACCCCCUCCUUCCUUGGUGCUGCCAUGCUCAGCUUAUUGGGGAGUUUUAACCAGUUGGUGAGGAGGUUGGAUUUGCUGUUUUGUUUGGUUGGUUCUUCGGUUGUCAUUGUUUUUGGAACUAAAUCUCAUGUAGCCCAGCCUGGCUUCGAGCUCCCAGCAAUCUCAAACUCACAGUAUUCUGUGUGCUUCACUCUUCCCAGUGCUGGGAUCACAGGUACGUACCACUAUACUCACCUUUUCUGAAUUCUGGGUGGCCAAGCAUACAAAUGCAAAUGCAGGGUAGACAGUUACAUAAGGGAGUUCAGAGAUGUUAGGGACUAGUUAUACAGAUUUGAGCAUCAUUGAUCCAGAAGUGUACGUCAAAUCGUGGGACUCAAUGAACCCCCAGGUGGAAGAUAUGAACAGAGAAAAAAAAAGUUGUGAUCUAUGUCUUUAGAGCCCACCUACCAUCAGAGAUCUGAUGAAGAAGAGGGAGCAGACAAAUAACACAGGAGAGCAGAGAAGCUUAGUAUGGUGGUGAAUGCCUAUAACCUGAGUUACCCAAGAGAGUAGUUGAGAAUCAUGAGUUCAAGGACAACCUGGGACAUAUAGGAAGAUUCUGUCUCUGCAUUUCCAAAAGGAGAACUGGGCAAGCUUAUUGGCUGACUUCUCUAGCAUGUGUGCCUCAGUUAGAUUCCAAGUACAGAAAAACAAAACAGAAUUAACUAGCCAGUGUGUAAGAAAGGGGAAGAAUAGGAAAAGUUAGGUGACCCUAGAGUCCUGGAAGCCUUCAGAAGGAGUGGUCACAAAGUCAAAAACUGCUGAGAGGUCCAGAAAGCCAGGGUCUUAAAAACCAUCUCAGGAUAUGUAGGGGAUGAGGCCCACUAGGGUGAGAAAGCAGUCAGCCGGCAUAGGUGAUUUGUUUGAGUUUUGUUUUAAUAGGAGUUGGAGAAGGCAUGUUAUGUCAAGAGAGAGCAUGGCCCUGGAGGAACGACUUGCCAGUUAAGGACUCUUUCUGCUCUUGAAGAGGACCGGAGUUGUGUUCCAAGCACCCACAAGGAACAACUCACAACCCCUGCAACUCUAGCUUCAGGGGAUCUAACACCCUUCACUGGCUCCGCCUGCACCUGCAGAAAUGUGGCAUAUACUAAUACAGACACUAUAAAUUAAAACAUUUUCCAGAGAGACUGCGGGGGCUCAGCAGAUAAGGGUGCUUGUCACAAAGCUGACAAACCUGAAUUCAAUCCUUAGGAUCCAAAUUGUGGAAGGAGAGGAGCAAUUCCUACAAGCUCCUACAAGGAGCAAUUCUCGUACCUUUGUGCUAGCACCAUAGCUAAAAUAAAAAAAGAAAAUGGGACGGCAUACAUAUGUGCAGGGUUUUGAAUGAAGAGGGAAAAUUAGGGAGUUUUGAGAUGGGGAAGAGUUUGAACUUUGGUUCCUACUCUUAGAAAGGUUAUGAUAACAUCUGGCAGAAACAAUACUAAUGACAAAAGCUUUAUGCUUGACUGGGGCUGCUAUUAUUCUAGCAUUAGGAAGGUGGAGCCGGAAGUCCAGGACAGCU
Non-coding RNA from Myodes glareolus (Bank vole), 2981 nucleotides. The record is from RefSeq and is a predicted model, not a curated record. NCBI's taxonomy places the organism in Eukaryota, Metazoa, Chordata, Mammalia, Rodentia, Cricetidae.